This 2112-nucleotide long non-coding RNA is filed under the name Theobroma cacao (cacao). Its description in RNAcentral is "long non-coding RNA (TCAC_LNC000929)". The record is from RNAcentral. Lineage: Eukaryota; Viridiplantae; Streptophyta; Magnoliopsida; Malvales; Malvaceae.
UCUUCUUCUUCUUCUCUUUCACGUUGCUUCCUAACCUCCAUAAAAGCUUGAUAAGAAAGCUCCACAACCUUCCUUAAAUAGCUCCAAAUUUCGUACUUUUGGUGCACCCUUUCCAUAAACCCUUGUGCUCUUCCACUCUCUCUCCUUAAAACCCUUGAAAAGUCUUAUUUUCAUACUCUCUCACUAGUUAGGUGUUUUAGAGAGAAAAAGAGGAAGCUUUAAAAAUAGCUUGAAAGUUUUGGAAAGAAUUUCAAAUACAAGCUACCAAGGUGAGUAGUAUACUAAAUUUGAGAUUUGGUGUUGAGAAUGAUUAGUGUUUAGAUUUGUAGGUGAAUUGGUAGUUGGGAUGUUCAUUCAUUUUAAAGUGAUAAAGGUAGAGAAGAAUAGAUAGCCAUUUAAAUGACCAUUGUAAGUUAGCUAAGAGAAAGCUUUUGGGCUUUAUAAGUAUGUGAAUUGACAUAUUAGUGAUGCUAAUGUGAUGAUAGGUUCUAACGAAGUCUCACAACCCCAAUUGGACCAUUAGGGAGGUUAGAGUCGGUUAAAGGCUCAACAAAUACCAGUGAGUGGACUUGCAUUUCAAAUUUUGUUUUAGGAAUGUGAAUGCAAUUGUGCAAACAUUGGAAAGAUUUUAUCUAGUUUUCCUUUGAAAAUGUACCUUGGGAACAAGCCUUUGGUGAAGUGAUUUUAUAUUGUGAAAAUGUGCUAUACAAUGGUUUAUGUGUUAUCACAAUAUGAUAAUAUGCAUAAUAUGAUUUGGGUUCUUCUUUGUAUGUUGAUGUGGACCCGGCUAUAUGUGAGUAGGAGUGUACAUAAGCCGAUGAUGACCCGGCUAUGUGCGAGUGGGAGUGCACAUAAGCCGAUGAUGACCCAGCCAUAUGCUAGUGGGGAGUGCGCAUGAGCUGAUGACGAUGGGAGAGUGUGCAUGAUGAUGAAUAUACAUAUACAUGUAUAGAUAUGUGUGUUAUAGAAAGUUCAUGAAUAUGUAAAUGGUUGAAAUGCAUGUGAAAUUUGACAUGUUGAACUUUGAGAAAUUAUAUGAGUUUCAUGUUGUGUUGGUCAUGUGAACAGGGUGGCCUUUGCUUGAGGGAAUGAGGAAUUUUUGCUGGUACCCUGUUUCUCGCUGAAUCUCGUUACAGCGAGAAACCCUCGGGUUUGUGCUGGCCGGAAUCUCACUGUAGCGAGAAUGUUACUGUAGCUUCUCGCUGCAACUAGAAACUUUUUGUUCUGAGAUCAAAAAUUUCGCUGCAGCGAGAUUCAAUCUCGUUGCAGUGAAAAACUUUCUGUUUUGCUCCUCAUUUGGUUCGGUUGCUUUCCUAUUUUCCAUUUCUUUGGUACCAUAGUUGAGCAUAGACUUCCAACAUUAAGGAAUAAAUGAAUUAAGUUUAAAAUGAGGAGGUUUGGUGAGAAACCCUUGGCCAGUUAAGAAAUCCUCGGUUUGUUGAUAAUUUAAAUCAAGUGUCGCUGCAGCAAAAAUUCAUUCUCACUGCAGCUACGCUACAGCGAGGACCCGUCGUUUAUUUGACUUGAUUCGCAUGAAUACUAUUAAAGUUUUCACUCUCCAAAUCCUUUAUUGAGCAUGGACCCUUUUCAUAAAGUGAUUUACUCAUGUGGGGUUUACAUGAGGGGUUUUAAUAAGAACUAAAACAAAUUGCAUUAUUUUGAAAAAUGAAUGCAUCAUGAUUUCGUUAAACAUUCCUUAAUGUUUGCUUGUUCCCUUUCUUGUUCACUCACUGGGUUUAUACUCACUGUUUUCAACUUCAUGUUUUCAGAUCACGAGGCAGUUGGUAACUAGGUCGAAGUGUCUUCGUAUAUUCGACUCUUGGUAGGUGUCUCGGCAUUCAGUAGCUGUACAUUCGUCCGAGUCUCUCCGCUGAAAGUCGAGUACUCUUUUGUUGUGUAUAGACAAACCGCUGUAAAUUAUUAAAUUAUGUUUAGAUAAUAUAUGUACUAUUUGAUUGGUAUGCCACUAUGAGAUGGCAAAUGUUUAGUAUUAUUUUGAUUCAAAGUUAUAAAAUGUGACUUAGCAACUUUUAAUGGAAUGGUGAAAAGGUUAUAUUAAUAGGCUUGCUUGGGCUUAGUGGACUACGUCCAUUAGGCCCAUGAGCUAAUCAU